UAGAGGAAGUAAAAGUCGUAACAAGGUUUCCGUAGGUGAACAUGCGGAAGGAUCAUUACCGAAUUGUCAACACGAGUUGUUGCUGGUCCUCAAAUGGGGGCAUGUGCACACUCUGUUUACACAUCCACUCACACCUGUGCACCCUCUGUAGCUCUGUGGCAUGGGGGGCUCUGCCCUCCUGUCGUGGUUCUACGUCUUUACACACACUCUGUAACAAAGUCUCAUGGAAUGCAUGACGCGUUUAACGCAAUACAAUACAACUUUCAGCAACGGAUCUCUUGGCUCUCGCAUCGAUGAAGAACGCAGCGAAAUGCGAUAAGUAAUGUGAAUUGCAGAAUUCAGUGAAUCAUCGAAUCUUUGAACGCACCUUGCGCCCUUUGGCUAUUCUGAAGGGCAUGCCUGUUUGAGUAUCGUGAACACCUCAACUCUCGUGGUUUGCCAUGAUGAGUUUGGACUUGGGGGGUUUUGCUGGCCUGUGGUCAGCUCCUCUCAAAUGGAUCAGCUUGCCAGUGUUUGGUGGCACCACAGGUGUGAUAGCUAUCUACGCUUGUGGUUUCUGCCAGAUAACCUUCAGUGAUGGAGGUUCACUGGGGCUUAUAAAUGUCUCUCCUCAGUGAAGACAGCUAUUUGAACGUUUGAUCUCAAAUCAGGUAGGACUACCCGCUGAACUUAAGCAUAUCAUAAAGCGGGAGGA
This 694-nucleotide ribosomal RNA is filed under the name uncultured Tomentella. Its description in RNAcentral is "eukaryotic LSU rRNA". The stretch from base 259 to 413 matches the Rfam family "5.8S ribosomal RNA". Lineage: Eukaryota; Fungi; Basidiomycota; Agaricomycetes; Thelephorales; Thelephoraceae. The record is from RNAcentral.